CGGACGGGUGAGUAACGCGUGAGAACCUACCUUCAGAAUGGGGACAACAGUUGGAAACGACUGCUAAUACCCAAUGUGCCGAAAGGUGAAAGAUUUAUCGUCUGAAGAUGGGCUCGCGUCUGAUUAGCUAGAUGGUGGGGUAAGGGCCUACCAUGGCAACGAUCAGUAGCUGGUCUGAGAGGAUGAGCAGCCACACUGGGACUGAGACACGGCCCAGACUCCUACGGGAGGCAGCAGUGGGGAAUUUUCCGCAAUGGGCGAGAGCCUGACGGAGCAAUACCGCGUGAGGGAGGAAGGUCCUUGGAUUGUAAACCUCUUUUAUCAGGGAAGAAGUUCUGACGGUACCUGAUGAAUAAGCAUCGGCUAACUCCGUGCCAGCAGCCGCGGUAAUACGGAGGAUGCAAGCGUUAUCCGGAAUUAUUGGGCGUAAAGCGUCCGUAGGUGGUUAUGCAAGUCUGCCGUUAAAGAAUGGAGCUUAACUCCAUAGGAGCGGUGGAAACUGCAAGACUAGAGUACAGUAGGGGUAGCAGGAAUUCCCAGUGUAGCGGUGAAAUGCGUAGAUAUUGGGAAGAACAUCGGUGGCGAAAGCGUGCUACUGGGCUGAAACUGACACUGAGGGACGAAAGCUAGGGUAGCGAAAGGGAUUAGAUACCCCUGUAGUC
RNAcentral lists this ribosomal RNA (662 nucleotides) under Synechocystis sp. PCC 6803. RNAcentral describes it as "bacterial SSU rRNA". It matches the Rfam family "Bacterial small subunit ribosomal RNA", at positions 99 to 795 of the family's 1533-position model. The record is from RNAcentral. Lineage: Bacteria; Bacillati; Cyanobacteriota; Cyanophyceae; Synechococcales; Merismopediaceae.